This 579-nucleotide ribosomal RNA is filed under the name uncultured bacterium. Its description in RNAcentral is "partial 16S ribosomal RNA". It matches the Rfam family "Bacterial small subunit ribosomal RNA", at positions 355 to 1376 of the family's 1533-position model. The record is from RNAcentral.
UAAGGAAUAUUGGUCAAUGGACGCAAGUCUGAACCAGCCAUGCCGCGUGAAGGAUUAAGGUCCUCUGGAUUGUAAACUUCUUUUAUCUGGGACGAAAAAAGGCGAUUCUUCGUCACUUGACGGUACCAGAUGAAUAAGCGCCGGCUAACUCCGUGCCAGCAGCCGCGGUAAUACGGAGGGUGCAAGCGUUAUCCGGAUUCACUGGGUUUAAAGGGUGCGUAGGCGGGCAGGUAAGUCAGUGGUGAAAUCCUAGAGCUUAACUCUAGAACUGCCAUUGAUACUAUCUGUCUUGAAUAUUGUGGAGGUAAGCGGAAUAUGUCAUGUAGCGGUGAAAUGCUUAGAUAUGACAUAGAACACCUAUUGCGAAGGCAGCUUACUACGCAUAUAUUGACGCUGAGGCACGAAAGCGUGGGGAUCAAACAGGAUUAGAUACCCUGGUAGUCCACGCCCUAAACGAUGAUUACUCGACAUUUGUGAUACACUAUAAGUGUCUGAGCGAAAGCAUUAAGUAAUCCACCUGGGAAGUACGACCGCAAGGUUGAAACUCAAAUGAAUUGACGGGGUCAUAGCUGUUUCCUG